GAUGAACGCUGGCGGCGUGCCUAAUACAUGCAAGUCGAGCGAACAGACGAGGAGCUUGCUCCUCUGACGUUAGCGGCGGACGGGUGAGUAACACGUGGAUAACCUACCUAUAAGACUGGGAUAACUUCGGGAAACCGGAGCUAAUACCGGAUAAUAUAUUGAACCGCAUGGUUCAAUAGUGAAAGACGGUUUUGCUGUCACUUAUAGAUGGAUCCGCGCCGCAUUAGCUAGUUGGUAAGGUAACGGCUUACCAAGGCAACGAUGCGUAGCCGACCUGAGAGGGUGAUCGGCCACAAUGGAACUGAGACACGGUCCAGAGUCCUACGGGAGGCAGCAGUAGGGAAUCUUCCGCAAUGGGCGAAAGCCUGACGGAGCAACGCCGCGUGAGUGAUGAAGGUCUUCGGAUCGUAAAACUCUGUUAUUAGGGAAGAACAAAUGUGUAAGUAACUAUGCACGUCUUGACGGUACCUAAUCAGAAAGCCACGGCUAACUACGUG
RNAcentral lists this ribosomal RNA (497 nucleotides) under uncultured bacterium. RNAcentral describes it as "partial 16S ribosomal RNA". It matches the Rfam family "Bacterial small subunit ribosomal RNA", at positions 28 to 507 of the family's 1533-position model. The record is from RNAcentral.